This 464-nucleotide ribosomal RNA is filed under the name uncultured bacterium. RNAcentral describes it as "partial 16S ribosomal RNA". It matches the Rfam family "Bacterial small subunit ribosomal RNA", at positions 28 to 506 of the family's 1533-position model. The record is from RNAcentral.
GACGAACGCUGGCGGCGUGCUUAACACAUGCAAGUCGAACGGAAAGGCCCCUUUGGGGGUCCUCGAGUGGCGAACGGGUGAGUAACACGUGAGUAACCUGCCCUUGACUUCGGGAUAACUUCAGGAAACUGGGGCUAAUACCGGAUAGGAAUCCUUGCUGCAUGGUGGGGGUUGGAAAGCUUCGGCGGUUUUGGAUGGACUCGCGGCUUAUCAGCUUGUUGGUGGGGUAGUGGCUUACCAAGGCUUUGACGGGUAGCCGGCCUGAGAGGGCGACCGGCCACAUUGGGACUGAGAUACGGCCCAGACUCCUACGGGGGGCAGCAGUGGGGAAUAUUGCACAAUGGGCGGAAGCCUGAUGCAGCAACGCCGCGUGCGGGAUGACGGCCUUCGGGUUGUAAACCGCUUUCAGCAGGGGCGAAGCUUGUGGUGACGGUACCUGCAGAAGAAGCACCGGCUAACUACGU